RNAcentral lists this unclassified non-coding RNA (352 nucleotides) under fungal sp. RNAcentral describes it as "partial internal transcribed spacer region". Lineage: Eukaryota; Fungi. The record is from RNAcentral.
AAGUCGUAACAAGGUUUCCGUAGCCUGCGGAAGGAUCAUUAACACGUAUCCAACGUUAAAACCCCCGUGAACUUUCAGCUUGCUCCUGUAGCCCGUGAAACAGCAAUCCCUGGUAAAUCAUUGUUGACGAGCUUUUGAGAGCGAUUGCAUCUAGUGAUGUUCGGUUUUUGGUGCCGUGCGAAUUUCACGCGCGGCCAAUUCGUACUGUGUUGUCGUAAAGGGGCAGAGCCCGGUGACCCGGUCGCCGGCCGUGUGGGCCUACAGCGAUCGUGACUGCGCCAUCCUUACAUAAUCAAUGACACUUAGACACUGAUUACUUGGGUAUGCCAGGUCAAUGGAUAUCUUGGUUCUC